GCAGGCUCGCGCUUGAAUACAUUAGCAUGGAAAUAAUGAAAUAGGACGUUCGAUCCUAUUUUGUUGGUUUCUAGGAUUGACGUAAUGAUUAAUAGGGAUAGUUGGGGGCAUUAGUAUUCAAUUGUCAGAGGUGAAAUUCUUGGAUUUAUUGGAGACUAACUACUGCGAAAGCAUUUGCCAAGGAUGUUUUCAUUAAUCAAGAACGAAAGUUAGGGGAUCGAAGACGAUCAGAUACCGUCGUAGUCUUAACCAUAAACUAUGCCGACUAGGGAUCGGAUGAUGUUAUUUUUAAUGACUCAUUCGGCGCCUUACGGGAAGCCAAAGUGUUUGGGUUCCGGGGGGAGUAUGGUCGCAAGGCUGAAACUUAAAGGAAUUGACGGAAGGGCACCACCAUGGGUGGAGCCUGCG
RNAcentral lists this ribosomal RNA (408 nucleotides) under uncultured Glomus. RNAcentral describes it as "SSU rRNA". It matches the Rfam family "Eukaryotic small subunit ribosomal RNA", at positions 780 to 1187 of the family's 1831-position model. The record is from RNAcentral. Lineage: Eukaryota; Fungi; Glomeromycota; Glomeromycetes; Glomerales; Glomeraceae.